AGCUGCGCGUCGAGCACAUAGCGAACUAUUCUUUCGCCUUUUACUAAAGAAUACCGUGUGCUCAUUACAAUUCAAGCAGCUGGAGGGUGUUUUGUUUAUAAUAAUCUUCAAUCUUGA
Molecule: small nuclear RNA, 117 nt
Organism: Salvia splendens (bonfire salvia)
Lineage: Eukaryota; Viridiplantae; Streptophyta; Magnoliopsida; Lamiales; Lamiaceae
Product: U5 spliceosomal RNA
Exons: 1
Source: RefSeq, a predicted model, not a curated record